Molecule: ribosomal RNA, 440 nt
Filed under: uncultured bacterium
Lineage: Bacteria
Description: bacterial SSU rRNA
Rfam family: Bacterial small subunit ribosomal RNA
Source: RNAcentral
CCUACGGGAGGCAGCAGUGGGGAAUAUUGGACAAUGGGGGCAACCCUGAUCCAGCGAUGCCGCGUGUGUGAAGAAGGCCUUCGGGUUGUAAAGCACUUUAGUUGGGGAAGAAGAGUUGUAGUUUAAGAGAUAACAACUUUGACGGUACCCAAAGAAUAAGCACCGGCUAACUCUGUGCCAGCAGCCGCGGUAAUACAGAGGGUGCGAGCGUUAAUCGGAAUUACUGGGCGUAAAGGGCGCGUAGGUGGUUUUAUAAGUGUAUUGUGAAAUACCCGGGCUUAACCUGGGGAGGUCAAUGCAGACUGUGAAACUCGAGUAUGGUAGAGGGUGGCGGAAUUUCCGGUGUAGCGGUGAAAUGCGUAGAUAUCCGGAGGAACACCGGUGGCGAAGGCGGCUUCCUGGACCGACACUGACGCUGAGGCGCGAAAGCUAGGGGAGCA